CGAAGAACCUUACCUGGGCUUGACAUGUAGGUGACAGGUGUGGAAACACACCCUCCCUUCGGGGCACCUUCACAGGUGGUGCAUGGCUGUCGUCAGCUCGUGUCGUGAGAUGUUGGGUUAAGUCCCGCAACGAGCGCAACCCUCGUUCUAUGUUGCCAGCGGAUAAUGCCGGGGACUCAUAGGAGACUGCCGGGGUCAACUCGGAGGAAGGUGGGGAUGACGUCAAGUCAUCAUGCCCCUUACGUCUUGGGCUGCACACAUGCUACAAUGGUCGGUACAAAGGGCUGCGAGACCGCAAGGUGGAGCGAAUCCCAAAAAGCCGGCCUCAGUUCGGAUUGGGGUCUGCAACUCGACCCCAUGAAGUCGGAGUCGCUAGUAAUCGCAGAUCAGCAACGCUGCGGUGAAUACGUUCCCGGGUCUUGUACACACCGA
RNAcentral lists this ribosomal RNA (432 nucleotides) under uncultured bacterium. RNAcentral describes it as "bacterial SSU rRNA". It matches the Rfam family "Bacterial small subunit ribosomal RNA", at positions 962 to 1393 of the family's 1533-position model. The record is from RNAcentral.